This 403-nucleotide long non-coding RNA is filed under the name Equus caballus (horse). Its description in RNAcentral is "lncRNA (ENSECAG00000057560.1)". The record is from RNAcentral. Lineage: Eukaryota; Metazoa; Chordata; Mammalia; Perissodactyla; Equidae.
UGGAAAUUUAUAUACUUCUCUGAGCCUCAUGCUUUUCAUUUGCAAAACGGGCUAAUACCUCUUCGCACUGUGGUUGGGAUGCCUAACGAGAGCCUGGAGGUAACACCUGGCCCCUAGCCUGGUGCUUCAGCAGUGGAGGCCCAGAAAAGUGACUCCAGCAAGUGCUAUCUCUAAAGGGUCUACAGAGAUUUGACCUGACUGGCAACGGCUCCAGCUCCCCAGCAGUGCACCCCCGGCGACACCCAGUACGGAGGAGGCUGUGCUGCAGGCAGUGGAGGGUGCAGGUACACAUGUCUCCGGAGGGGUUGAUGUCCAGGAGCCUAAUGCUUCAGAGCCUGGCGUCUAAGGGGGUGUGUGGGUGGCAGCAGAUGAAUGGUAUGAACAUAUAUAAGAAAAUUUGCAG